UACCGGAUAACAACACUAGACGCAUGUCUAGAGUUUGAAAGAUGGUUCUGCUAUCACUCUUGGAUGGACCUGCGGUGCAUUAGCUAGUUGGUAAGGUAACGGCUUACCAAGGCAAUGAUGCAUAGCCGAGUUGAGAGACUGAUCGGCCACAUUGGGACUGAGACACGGCCCAAACUCCUACGGGAGGCAGCAGUAGGGAAUCUUCCACAAUGGACGAAAGUCUGAUGGAGCAACGCCGCGUGAGUGAAGAAGGGUUUCGGCUCGUAAAGCUCUGUUGGUAGUGAAGAAAGAUAGAGGUAGUAACUGGCCUUUAUUUGACGGUAAUUACUUAGAAAGUCACGGCUAACUACGUGCCAGCAGCCGCGGUAAUACGUAGGUGGCAAGCGUUGUCCGGAUUUAUUGGGCGUAAAGCGAGUGCAGGCGGUUCAAUAAGUCUGAUGUGAAAGCCUUCGGCUCAACCGGAGAAUUGCAUCAGAAACUGUUGAACUUGAGUGCAGAAGAGGAGAGUGGAACUCCAUGUGUAGCGGUGGAAUGCGUAGAUAUAUGGAAGAACACCAGUGGCGAAGGCGGCUCUCUGGUCUGCAACUGACGCUGAGGCUCGAAAGCAUGGGUAGCGAACAGGAUUAGAUACCCUGGUAGUCCAUGCCGUAAACGAC
This 656-nucleotide ribosomal RNA is filed under the name uncultured bacterium. RNAcentral's name for it is "bacterial SSU rRNA". It matches the Rfam family "Bacterial small subunit ribosomal RNA", at positions 167 to 810 of the family's 1533-position model. The record is from RNAcentral.